AUGGGGACUUUCUCUACAUAUGUACCGGAAGAGGAGCGCUGGAAGAUCAAAGUCUGGGUACCUGGGAGGACAUUUGCGCCAACAACGGAGCCUAUUGAUUUCUACCUGGAUGCACCAAGCCGGAGUAUAGGAAAGAGCAUGGCAUCCCAUAUCACCUUUGGACGCAUAUGUGAAGUGUACCACAAGGAGCUAGAGAACACCAUUUAUCAAAUAUGUGGCCGUCGAGAUGAAGAAUGGGAGAUGAUUCGUAUCGGGAGGGAUGGAUCAAUUGCAGCCUACAUUCAAGAGAUGGGAGAUCAUAUUCGUUGA
RNAcentral lists this ribosomal RNA (309 nucleotides) under Triticum aestivum (bread wheat). RNAcentral describes it as "partial small subunit ribosomal RNA". The record is from RNAcentral. Lineage: Eukaryota; Viridiplantae; Streptophyta; Magnoliopsida; Poales; Poaceae.